AAGGCGCCCGAUCUCGUCUGAUCUCGGAAGCUAAAGCAGGUCGGGCCUGGUUAGGAUCUUGGAUGGGAGACCACCUGGGAAUCCCGGGU
Molecule: ribosomal RNA, 89 nt
Filed under: Bison bison bison
Lineage: Eukaryota; Metazoa; Chordata; Mammalia; Artiodactyla; Bovidae
Source: RNAcentral